This 343-nucleotide unclassified non-coding RNA is filed under the name soil metagenome. Its description in RNAcentral is "partial contains 5.8S ribosomal RNA, internal transcribed spacer 2, and large subunit ribosomal RNA". The stretch from base 1 to 120 matches the Rfam family "5.8S ribosomal RNA", at positions 35 to 154 of the family's 154-position model. The record is from RNAcentral.
GAUGAAGAACGUAGCGAAAUGCGAUAAGUAAUGUGAAUUGCAGAAUCCAGUGAAUCAUCGAAUCUUUGAACGCACAUUGCGCCCGCCAGCAUUCUGGCGGGCAUGCCUGUUCGAGCGUCAUUUCAACCCUCGACCUACCCUUGGGGAGGUCGGCGUUGGGGACCGGCAGCACACCGCCGGCCCUGAAAUGGAGUGGCGGCCCGUCUGCGGCGACCUCUGCGUAGUAAUACAGCUCGCACCGGAACCCCGACGCGGCCACGCCGUAAAACACCCAACUUCUGAACGUUGACCUCGAAUCAGGUAGGACUACCCGCUGAACUUAAGCAUAUCAAUAAGCGGAGGA